AGAACUGCCUGAAGGAAGCCUGGGAGUUGUCAGCGACCAGGGACACCUGGCAGUGACUCUGUUUAUCAUCUUUUCUUUAUUUCAGAAAGGGAUCCUUCUUCAGGGGUGGAGGGCUUCUCCCAGGGAGGAAUUUGGGAGCACAAACAAAGCUCUAAAGAUGGAGGGUGAGGAUGGCAGGAAGAGGGAGGGCUCCCAGGGACUUUCUCCAUGUGCUCACCUCCGGUUGGUCUUAGUUUGUGAUCUGAGAUUAGAACUGCAUCCACUUGUCUUUGCCAAAAGCAGCAACUGCUGUACUGCUAACCUGGACUCUCAGGAAAGAAGCAGAUCUAGUUUGGGCAAAAGGAUGAGAAAAUCACAGCCUUAAGAAUACUGUUCCUUAUUUGUGCCCUUUAAGGGAAAUAAGAGUACCUGGGAUUGAGACAGCUGGUGUUUGAUUCUGACGUGCCACUACAUCACUAUGUGAUACUGAACUUGGUCUCUCACUUGUAGCGUGGUGCAUCCUUUGAUACACACGCACACGCGCGCGCACACACACACACACACACACACACACACACACACACACACACACUGUAGUUAAGCUGUAUUCCUCAGAACAAGCCACCCUGCAUAUGUAAAAGACUCUGUUGAGAUGUCCCAGGCUCUGGGACCCGGUGAAAUCAGAACCUCUAGGGUGUAUCUUCAGCAUGCCUGCUUUAUAAGCUCUCCAAGGAGAUUUUAAUGCCUAAGCAGGCUGGAUCAUCGUCUUUCCAAUCAGGAGUGCUCAGAGUGCUUUCAAAUCAGGGAAGGGCACAGCAGCAGCAGCAGCAGCAGCAGCAGCUCUGUCAAAUCUGAGAGCUAACGAGCAAUGACACUUAUCAGUCACCACAGGAGAAGUAGAAAGCUGGGGGAAGGGGAGGGCAAGGGACCUCUGGGAGCAUGUAAGCGAUAAGGAUGCUGGGAUGCAUGCUGCGGGCUCACGUCUGAAGGUGGGUCUUACAUUUGAAGAGUGAGGCUUCCCUAUGGCUAUUCCAGCUUAGUGGAUCCAGUGAUUCCCGUGAUGGUAAAGGGCUGUGAACACAGAUGUCACCCUACUUUCUGACCUAAGCUUUUAAUGCCCAUGCAGGACACUCCUCUUUCUCUGCCAGAUAGACCUUGAGAUGCUAAUUCGAAAGGAAGCUAGCAGCAAGAUGGUCUAUGAAUCACUUGAGAAUGUGAAUGGAAAACAGAUAAAAGGGUGAUCUUUAUAAAGAUGUAUUGGAGAAUGUGGUUCAGUUUCAUGCAUAUCCUAAUAGUAGCUACAUGUUUUGAUCCUGGUUCGACCACAUCUCCUCCCAAAACUUGUCCAGACCUUUGCAGAUGUGUUUGUAAGCAUGUACAGCAAUUACUACCUCCAUGCUUCUUCUUGGUGAGUUGCAGAAUUAAUAAAAACCUUUGUCUGGUGGAGCUAGCCCAUGGAGGGCAAGGCAGAACUGUCCCCUGGCAAGCAUGCAGGCUUAUGAGAAAUUUCGGCAGGGACUGGGCCAACUCUACCCAGUUCUUUUGUUCUAGGAUCAUUUACCACUUGGAUCACUUGGCCCAUGGCAAGGAGUUACUAAGGACAGAUUCUUUGUAGAAUUUACAGAGUGAGCAUCUUUGGGGCUAAAAGACAUUCUGGAAAGAUGAGAAGAGGAACUGGUUAUCCUGGAGAAGUGCUGGAAAGAUGUGAGGUGGAUCUGGUGCUGCUGGAAAAAUGUUGGAAAGAAAGAAGGAAUCAGGUCCUUAUCUGUGUCUUCUCUGUCCUUUUGUUUGGGAGUCAGCACAUUUGGCCUGCUUGCUUCUUACCCCGCUGGCCUUAGAUUUGGACCAUGUGACCUGGCCACAGUGGAGAAUUCCAUUGGAUGAUUUGGAGGACACAAUAAGAAACUAUGCCCACGUACAUGCUGAAAUUGCAAGGCAAAUGUAUCCUAAAGGUGAAACCUUGGCCCUCACGAAGACUGGCAGAUCCUGAGCUGUGUUGGAGAAACUCGUUUUCACAAACGAGCAAACCCUUUCUUCCCAGACAGAACCUCACAUUGCUCCUUACAGCUCCUCCUCAUGCUUUUUCCAAAAUGAAGCUGAUCAACUGCGGGUGUGAACGACAGAUCCCUACAACUUUACAGUAAGCUCAAUCCUGGGGAAAGGGCUAGCUUUACCGCUGCCAUUGAAGAGGCCGUCUCUUCUAGGGAUGAGAGCAGACUAGAUUAGAAGGCAGUAUUUUUCUUCCCAGACACCAUCUUCAGAGGUUAUGACCCCAGUGCAUAUAGUGAAACACACUUGUUCUUGUUCUGUCUCUACCACUGAGUGAUUGCAUUCAACACUUAAAAUAGUAUUUAUUCUUCACUUAGAGUAUUAUUCUUCACUUACAGUAAAAUGAGGUACAUAGAAAUGUAUGUGUCUGUGUGUUCAUGUAUGUACCUGGGCAUGUGUGUCUGUGCUUGU
Long non-coding RNA from Mus musculus (house mouse), 2439 nucleotides. RefSeq annotates it as predicted gene, 34572. The record is from RefSeq and is a predicted model, not a curated record. Lineage: Eukaryota; Metazoa; Chordata; Mammalia; Rodentia; Muridae. The transcript has 3 exons.